UCGGACGGUUCAAAUUUAGUCAAAUAACCAAACCCCAAAACGUGUAUGAGUACUCCUUCCCAAAAAGUCAGAUGCACGCUUUUCCCCUCUCCAAUGCAACAGCGUCCCAUCACCCUCAUCUUUCCCAAAUCGACAAUAACUACAGCGCCCUUUCUCCUCUCUCUUCUUGACCCCUCCUGUCCCCCCCCCCCCCAAAUCAGAAAAUGCACCACCAUUACUGCAUCACUGCUACCCCCUAUCCACUGCCAUAUUUGUGCUAACCUGCAAGAAUCUCUCCAUUUUUUUUUCAUCUUCCAAGCCCGUGAAUCAAUGGGUGGCAGCCAGCCAGUUCCAAAUUCGUGCAGAACUGAAAACUCAUUAAAAUAUGCAAUUGAAAGUUUGCAAGAGGUCGAGGAUUGGGGUGGGGGGGAGAUUUCAAAAUUCGAAAUUUCUUCUCCUUUUACCGUUCUUUAUUUUGAGGUUUCAAAUUCGGACUUUGAGGUCCGGAUUUGCGCCUAUAAAAGAGGCUUUUUUUUCGGAUGCUCAGGGGAGACAGAGGGGGAACACUCGAAAAUUGAGGAAUAUUCACACAAAGUCACAAAUUAGAAGUCUCGUUUCUUCUUUUCGGUCUAGGUUCGGGCUCCCGAAGUUUGAGUUGGAUUGCCGGAAAAUCUUGGCGUCGAAGCCCCAGCUUGCUGCCCCAUUAAAGUUUCAACGGAAACUCGAUUUUGACCCAAAGAUUGGGUUGAUGGCUAUAGGAUUACAGAGUUCGGGGUCUAAAUCGCUACAAGUCGAUUCCUUCGAUAGAAAAGCUAUAGUAUUGAGUUUCCUACCUUCCUCGUUACUUUAUUAUUCGCAUUUGUUUCACUAACUUUUGUUACUUGAAUAUGUAUCUUUAUGUGGCCUUGAUUGAAAUCGAUUAACUUUACUGGUUUAGUUUCGUUCAA
Capsicum annuum is the source of this 926-nucleotide long non-coding RNA. RefSeq lists it as uncharacterized. NCBI's taxonomy places the organism in Eukaryota, Viridiplantae, Streptophyta, Magnoliopsida, Solanales, Solanaceae. The record is from RefSeq and is a predicted model, not a curated record. The transcript is spliced from 2 exons.